This 440-nucleotide ribosomal RNA is filed under the name uncultured bacterium. Its description in RNAcentral is "bacterial SSU rRNA". It matches the Rfam family "Bacterial small subunit ribosomal RNA", at positions 338 to 780 of the family's 1533-position model. The record is from RNAcentral.
CCUACGGGUGGCUGCAGUCGAGAAUCUUCGGCAAUGCGCGAAAGCGUGACCGAGCAAUGCCGCGUGCGGGAUGAAGGCCCUCGGGUUGUAAACCGCGAAAGUAAGGCGGAAGGCUCUGUGAAGAGCAGAGUUUGACCAAUUUACAGUAAGGACGGGCUAAGUUCGUGCCAGCAGCCGCGGUAAGACGAACCGUCCGAACGUUAUUCGGAAUUACUGGGCUUAAAGGGUGCGUAGGCGGUGCUGUAAGUCGGGUGUGAAAUCCCACAGCUCAACUGUGGAACUGCGCCCGAUACUGCAGUGCUAGAGGGAGACAGAGGUAAGCGGAACUGAUGGUGGAGCGGUGAAAUGCGUUGAUAUCAUCAGGAACACCGGUGGCGAAAGCGGCUUACUGGGUCUCUUCUGACGCUGAGGCACGAAAGCUAGGGUAGCGAACGGGAUUA